Molecule: long non-coding RNA, 4722 nt
Organism: Lutra lutra (Eurasian river otter)
Lineage: Eukaryota; Metazoa; Chordata; Mammalia; Carnivora; Mustelidae
Exons: 3
Source: RefSeq, a predicted model, not a curated record
UUCACCUCCGGAGCAAGCAUAUGGUUGUGGUGACCAGGAAGAAAGUCACAUGCUCAGCUGCACAAAAAAGGAAUGCAUUUAUCCCAUUCUUCAAAAUCGGAUCCUGCUUACGUCAUUUAAGACUUCCUAUUUGACUUAGGGUGCAUGGGUUUUCAGUAAACACUGAUUGAUUGAAGGAAUGAAUCCAGAACUCCUAGAAGAACAUAGACCAGACUGGGCCAAGUCUGGGUGCCCCGAUCCCUAACCUCUCCAGGUUGGCAAUAUACGCCUCCAGGGAAAAAAACAAAAACCAGGCAGGAGAGAGAGACACAGUGGGAGAAGGAACACAAGCAGGGGGAGCAGGAGAGGUAGAAAUAGGCUUCUGCCGAGCAGGGAGCCCAUGGACUUCUGCACCAAAUCAGUCCUCCAAGGAACGGCCAGGCGGACUCAAGGAGCUGUCCAUUUGCCAUCGAGCCUCUUCAGGGGACACUUGGCUGUUUCCAAGCUGCUGAUACCCUGGGCCUUUCAGCACAGGCCAGUUUGGUGGGCGUGUGGGAGAAGGUCCGCGGAGAAAUGCGGCUGAGCUACCUCUAUGUGCACCUGCAGUCUUGCCUUCCGGGUCCUGCUGUGCACUGGGAGGCCUCCAGUUUAGAAAUGGGCUUGAGGAAUCAGAGUUCUCGAUGGGAGGGCUGCGGGGAAGACAAGGGCAGGCCAGCCUGAGGAGCUGCGGUGGUCAGCACGAGCUCUGGAAUCUCAGGGGGAUGCCGCCGGGUCCAGUAGCCCAGGGUGAGACUCCGGAACCACCAGGCUUCUGUGUGGCGCUGGGCGGGGCCCAGAAGAGAGGUUGUUCCUCUGGACUCUCUUCCCCAUAUCACAAGCUCCCAGGCCCCAGCGAGUGCAUCUGCUAAAAUUUCCUUCAUCAAACAGCUUUGCACCUCGCUGUGGUGGGCUCUGUGGUGCUGAGACCCAACCUUCCUUGGGGGAGCUCUUGUCAGAACGACUUGCAUCUAGCUCCAGCCCAGAUCUCUCUUUGGAGCCCUAGACCCUGCUGAGCUGCUCCCCUGACCCAGGGCAGUGGCUGGACACCAUCGCCCCAGCUGAAAAUGCCUCUUCCCUGUCCCCCACCACCCUCUCCCUCAGUCCCUAGACUCUAGACAUAAUGUACCCCCACCCUGCCCAGACUCUAGAGCAUUCUAAGCUCAGCCUUCCAUCUGUCUCUGCAACACACUAUAGUUGCUGUUCUUACUUCUCUUUUUCUCAUUAUUUCAGAAAGAUGAAAAUCCCACCUUCCCUCUUCUGGGGAGCAGUCUUCAGCCAAGCUCUGGAAAUCUGUCUCCGUGGAGGGAGUUUCCAUCCCCAGCAAGGGAAGCGGUUUGUCAGAAGGACCUGGAGGUUAAUUGCUAGGGCAGGCGACAGCCGUAACUGGAGGGGUCAGAAUAGAAAAUCUAGAAGUAUCUUCAGUCUUAUUUGUAAGACUGCCUUCAGUGCGGUGAGGGAGGCAGAGGCUAUGCCUAAUUUAGUAGGAGAACUUGGGCAAGUCCACUCCCUGUUCUGAGCCUCAAUUUUCCCAUCUCCAAAAUGGGAAUGAUGAAUCUCCCUUCGCAGGGUAUUGAGGACCAAAUGACCCAACCAUUGCGAAAGCUUUAACACAGACCUGGCACAUGGGAGAUGUUUCAUACAUGCCAGCUCUCUUUCCCUCUCCCACAGGACAGCUGUCCCCUCCAGGUGUCCCCAAAGCAUGUACUCACCCCAGGGCAGUCAGGACUGAGGAGGAGGUGGGGGCACCAUCCACAGACCUGGCAGGGACUAUAGAAGUGGGGGUUAAGCAAAUUGCCCAGUGCAGUGGCCCUCAUGCUCGCCUCCUGAUUAGCUCGAGUUAAUGAACAGCAUGAUUUCUGACUCGCUGCUUCUCAAGGGUGCCCUUGCUGUUUGCCUUCCUCCCAUCUGGGACCCACAGCUGCACCCCCAUUCCACCAACUGCACAGUCCUCAGCUGCACGGUGGGCCUGGACAUUGGCCAUGCAUGGGGGAUCGGCUCUCUCAGUCCCCUGGGCCCUCAGUUCUGCCCCAGGCUGGUUCCUAAACAGGCAGGGCCAGGGGGGAGUCCCAGCCAGUGCUGAGGAACUCAGUGUAGAAGGCUCUGAGCUAGUUUCUGCACUACACACUUUUUUUUUUUUAAACAGAUGAUAGACUUGGCAUAGACCAUGUAGGGUAUUGUCUGUGGAGUCCAGGCUAGAGGCUGAGGCCUCCCCAGGGCAGGGGCUUCUCAUGUCCCCUCACCUUCUUCCUUCCGUGGGCCCCUCCACAGCAGACACACAGCGGAGGCAGGGCCUUCUCUUGGUCUGAGCAAACCUCUAGGGUACUGGCUAGGCUUGCAGGGCCCUGUUCUCAGAAAAUGGGUUCAUGGGAGAGGCUUCCUGAAACUUCCAGCUCCAUCUCUCUCUCUCUCUGUCUGCGAGGUGGGCAGAGACUGAAAUGAGAAGGGUCCACGGUGUUGCUCAGCCCCAGAGCCAGGCCGCCCUACAGUGAGCCUUCGUGGCCCCAGUGGCGCUCCCUCCCUUCUCCACUCCACCAGGGCCACCUCCCACGCCUGCCACCAUGACCCCGGACUGGGGCAGGAGGAGAAGAUUCACACUGAGUGCAUAGCUAUAGCCGUGAUGGAAGUAGAGAACAAGGCCACAGUCUCCGGAAAAUUCAAGACCCUCUCCCCCAACUGCACAUUCUCCUGAGACAGAGGGGAGGAUGGGCUGGACCCAGCAUCCUUGUCGGGGAUGAUGUCAAGUGUGUCCCAUGGCAAGCACGGAUCCCAGUGCUUCGGGGCUCAGGGUGCCCACAAGCCAGCCCCAUCCCUGAACGGCCCACAGGGCCCAGAAGGCGGAAUGUGGGAGGAGUCCAGUCACCUUCACCAACACUCCUUGACUGUGGGAGGUGGGAGUGGGGUGGAAUUUGGGGAGAGCAAGGGUGGAAAAGACCCAAUACAGAGACACAAGAAAUCAGGCUCUUUAGGGUGAAAUUCACCAGGAAGUCCUUCUGGAACUUCUCUCCCCUAGUAGUACAAGCUGUACCAGCAUCUGAAAACUUCCCUUCAAAACCCACUGUGGUGCAGCCUGGAAAGCCAGCACACUGCGGAGCGACACUAACUGCCAACACUCAGCCAGCCAGGGAGUCGGGGCCCCAAGAGUGGGAUCAUGGCAGUACUCGCAUGUUUAUUUUAUUUCCUGUCAUAUAACCUACAAUUUACCUUGUCUCUUGUGUUUCAAGAGACAACAUAAAUAUUACAUUAAGAAAUUAGGCUGUUUGUGUUCGAAUCUUCAUGAAUAAGGUUUGUUAGGUUGUUUGUGGUAGCAUAUAUUGUUUGACUGUAAAAUACACAUUAUGUAAAAUUUACCUUAUUAACCACUUUAAAUGUACAGUUCAGCAGUGUUAAGUAUAUCCACAUUGCUAUAUGAUCGAUCUCCGUAUUUUUUUCAUUUUACAAAACUGAAACUCCAUACCCAUUCAACACAACUCCCCAUUUCCCCCUCUACCCAGCCCAUGGCUACAUUUUUUUUUUAAUUGAGGAAUACUCUAUAUACAGUGAGAUGCAUAGAUCUUAAGGGUAAAAUCUGACAAAUUUUGACAGAUGCAUACACCUGUGUAAGUGUAUCUCCAAUCAAGUUACAACACCUUCCCAUCCCCAAUGAAGUUGCUGUAUUUCCCUUUUUUUAUUUUUCAUCUUAACUAGAAUUAUAGUCACCAUGUGAUGAUGAUUUCCAGAAUAUUAGAUCCCCAGAACUUUUUUGUCUGUCUCCCCAUCCCAAGGCAACCAAUGUCCUGAUUUCUAUUAUCAUGGAUUGGUUUUGCCUCUUCUAGAUCUUCAUAAAAAUGGAAUCAUCCCAUUGGUACUCCCUUCCUGCUUCUCUUUCUUUCAACAUGAUACUGAAAUUUAGCCAUGUACCAUCUAUUAAUAGUAUAUUGAUUUCCAUUGCUGAGUAGUAUUUCAUUAUAUGAAGAUAACAGAGUUUUUUUUUUAAUUUUAUUUAGUUACUUGACAGAGAGAGAGAGAGAGAGAGAGAUCACAAGCUGGCAGUGUAGCAGGCAGAGAGAGAGGGAGAAGCAGGCUCCCUGAUGAGCAAAGAGCCUGUCAUGGGGCUCGAUCCCAAGACCCCGGGAUCAUGACCUGAGUCGAAGGCAAUCGCUGAACCGACUGAGCCACCCAGGCUCCCCGACAACAUAGUUUUUUAUGUACCCGCCUAUAGAUGGACAUUUGGGUUGUUUCUAGUUUUCUUGCUAUUAUCGAUAAAACUACUGUGAUGAUUGGACUUUUGGAUGAUUAUUCUUGUGGAUAUGUGUUUUCAUGAUUCUUAGAUAAGUACUUAGGAAUGGAGUUGGUAUAUCAUAAGGUAGGGUAUAUUUCACUUUAUAAGAAACUGCUAAACAGUUUUCCAAUAUGGUUGCACCAUUUUAAGCUUCCGCCAACAAAGUAUGAGUUCCAGUUGCUCCACAUCCUCACCAGCAUUUGGUAUUGUUGCUCUUUUUAAGUUUAACCUUCUAGUGGGUGUGAAAUGUUAUUGCACAAUUCCUAACACAAAGAUGUUGAGCAAUUUUCAUUUGGUUGCUGGCCACUUGUAAUCUUUCGUGACAUGUCUGGUCAAGUCUUUUGCUUGCUUGCAUUUAUUAUUUAUUUAUUGUCUUUUUGUUAUUGAUUUGUUGGUAUUCUUUAUAUAUUCUAGAUACCAGAACUUUGUCAGAUACAUAUUUUGCA